AGCAGAGGCAUUAACUCUUAAUUAACCAGAAAAAUCACCGCAUAUUAGCAAUAAACCGAAAUAUAAUAAAGUUAGCACCGUCCAACCAGUUUAUUAUGAAGGUCUGCUACAGUCCUUGGCUCCAGGCUGUUUGCAGUAGCUCCUAAUAAUACUGACGUUUUAAUUUGGGACCUUUAUGCUUCGUACAAAAUCAAAUAAACACCCAACUGGACUGAAAUCUGGAGGCCAACACCUCAAAUUGGUUGUUGUCUUCCAUGAGAGAGCUCUUUUUCUUUCUGCUAGGAAAACCAGAUCCAUCAGUGCAGCCAUUUUCCAUAUAUGACACUUCUGCGUUCUCAGUAGAACCUGGUAGUGACACCAUCCAUCAUUCUCCCAUCUCAGGUUCCCUUGAUUUUAUUUCUUGGACCAGUAUCAGACCCUCCAAAGCAAUACCAAUCGACUGUCACUGUUUGGUUCUGGCUAAACCACAAGUUGGCCUUAUUAUUAUUUUAUUUUUUUAUGUUUUUCCUUCCGCUUCCAUCACAGGAAGCCCACCUGAAAUCCAUCUGCAAUGAAAGCUUCAUUCAGGAUGCCCAACAGUUUUCUUUAUUUCUGCUCAUUCCCCCUCACGCACUCUGGGCCUGCUCAGAGGAAUGCUGGGUCACAUGAGUGGGCCGGACUGACCUACUUUCAUCCAAUCAGAGGCCGCCGCCUCCUGUUCUCCUCCCCAUCUACCCCAUGCAGCCCAGUCACAUUGAAUCUCAUGUGCUCCGGAGUAGGAGCAAAACAAAUCCAGCAGCAGGGAGGAGGAGAGAGGAGAAGAGCAAGCAACAGAGAGUGGGAAGGAUUUAGAAGGAGGGGGAAGAAGGAAGGGGAAGCAAAAAUGAACAGAAAACUACAAAUAUAGAAAAAGACUCGAUAGAGGACGAUAAUUUGAAAAAGCGAAUGCAAAGAAGAUAAAUAAAUACAAAGGGAAAUGAUGGGGAAGGAAAAUGAAUGAAGGGUUGGUAAAAAAAAUGAAAGGAAAAUGUGAGAAACCAUGAGAAAGGAAAAAGUUUAAAAAAUAAAGUGAAAAUGUAAAAGAAUAAAGAUGAGAAGAGGAGAGCACAUCAGAGAUUUGCCCAUCAUGAUGCUGGAGCUCUUUUAUUUAAGUGAUAAGUUUGGCUCUAUUCCUCUUUCUCUCCUUCCUUCGUUCCUCUGAUUGUUUCUUGUCUCUCUUUGCUAUUUUUUUCUUUCUGCAACCCGGUUCAAACCAGUCGACAAUCCCAGCUACUGUCACCUCAUCACGCCCUCUGCAGAGUCCAGUGAUUGUUUUCUAACUUCUGUUACCUCCAGUUGUGAGAAGAAAAAAAAAAAAAAUCUUUCACAUUGCCAGAUCGGACACUUUCUGGCAUUUCUCUGUUUAUCAGACUUCAGCUCAGUUAAAUGACUCAAAACGCCAGGCAACGCUUCCGAAAAGUUGGCUCGACUAAAUAAAAGUUGGGUUGUAAACAACAGGCGAGGUGAUCCAGCAUUUUCAUUGCCUUUCUGUGCUACUUGCUUUUCUUGUUUCAGUGGGCAUUGCAUCCAUCUUGUGACUCUCUCCUUAAUUGUUGUUAUCAUAGAUUCGAGAGUCAUUGUACGAUAAUAAUAUUUAAUCCUUUUUUUCUUUUUUCGUCUCUGGGUUCCAGUCAAAACAAUUUUUUUUGUGGUACUUAUAGGAGCCAAAUAAGAGCCAAAAGUGUUGUGGUGUUUUUUUGUUUUUUUCUAAACUAUGUAAAUCAUGUUGCUUCUGCGUGAACUCGAUCCGGCAGACGAAGAGGCUCCCUGAAACACAAAGCACCCUAAAAACGGUGCGUGUGAUUCUGCGUGCAGCGAAGAGUCCGACAAAGCCGUCAUUAAACACUCCUUAGCAACAGCAGCAACCGAGGGCCUGCAGUGUUGUGGCAACCUUUUUGGUCGAGAGGAAAGUAGGGCAGCGGCGACUGAACCUGUUGCAGCUCUGACUCAUUGCUUUAACGCGCCUCACUGCCACCUGAAGAGGCUUUUCUGUCACUGCACAGAAACCUUUUCAGCUGCCGGCAUGUUAAAGCAGCUCGUAUUUCCCGUCAGUUAAUCCAGACAGAUGGAGUUUGUUGCGUGACAAAGGUUUCUGCAUGAAGAAGGCCGAACACCGAAAGUUUGUUUAAGAAAAGACAUAAUGUAUACACGUAUGCGCCUUUCUCUUCCUUUAGUUGCACUCAGCUGUCACAAGGAGUGCAAAUUACAGUAAUCGUGUGACUUUUAUUUGACAUAAUCGACAAUAGAAUUAAAUUACUCCCUGGGCAAGGAGGCAAAUUACUCCCUGGGCAAAGUAGUGGGGCUUAUUUUGUAUCGAAAUGAAUCACAGAUUGGUUGACCAUGAAAUAAUCAUCUUCAAAAGCGUAGAGAAAACAGAAGCUUUUUACAUUUUAAACAUCUUAUUAAGUCUUCUUUAGAAACAACUGGAAAACUACUGUUUUCUAUAUUUUUUUCCCUCAAGCAAAGUCAGUUUAAUCUGUACAGAUUUGCUCCAUGUGCUGCCAUCUUUGCAGCAUGUAAAAAUGUUGGUUAAAGUCCUAUAAUUUUUCUGAUCGGUUGUCGUUACAUUGCCGUCUAAUAAUAUUACUCAAAUCUGGCUUCCCAGCAGCUCCGAUUAACACAGGAGUGCCUCAGGACGGUGUGCACGGACCACUGCUCUUUGCACAUUUAUAGAAUCCCACUUGAUCUUUUGUGAACAAUUGUACGUUAGUGAAACUGAAAUCCUGGCUGCGGCUCCACAGACGCUUCUCUUGUUCCUGUUCAGAUUGAAAUAAUUACUACCUACUCUUUAACUUUUGAAUGGAAUCUGUGAGUAAAUCUUGCCUCAUUGGAGAAACAUCUCCAGACCCAGCCCACGAGUGUUUUGAUUCGCCCUCUUUCUCAACUACCGUCGGCUCUACCAACUAACAUUCACGCAAACGCUUGGGUGUGCACCCAAAACUCACCAAGCUCUAACCACUCCCUUCUGUUCUCUGUGUUUACAUCUACAAUGUUCAACCCUUUGUAGAAUGCAUCUUACAAUAACAGUUAUUCACAGAGGCAUUCAGGACAAAUGAGUGUUUCUUCCCCUACUCCCAUCACUGACCCAUUUAGCGUUUUGGUUGAUUCAUAUGCCAUCAUUCCGGAUUUUGUGAUACCUCUGGAGAGGCUCUGCAAAAAUGUUUGCCUCUUAUAGUCUCCAAAGGCGUUAUGCCUUUUUAUUUGUCCAAUUUCUCUGUUUUUUUUCCAUUGCCUUCCGUCUUUGUUUCUAUGUUUUCUUCCAUAGUAACGGGGUGCUGGCGAAGUUUGUCUCAGCUGGUCAGCGAGACAGAUUUACAAUCUGAAAUAUCCUAAAGGAUUAUAAUGCUCAUAAUUUAUCCAGUUUCUUUAAGAGCAAAAUUUUCAAAAUGG
This is a long non-coding RNA of Xiphophorus couchianus (Monterrey platyfish), 3408 nucleotides long. RefSeq lists it as uncharacterized. Lineage: Eukaryota; Metazoa; Chordata; Actinopteri; Cyprinodontiformes; Poeciliidae. The record is from RefSeq and is a predicted model, not a curated record. The transcript has 2 exons.